Molecule: non-coding RNA, 1680 nt
Organism: Oncorhynchus mykiss (rainbow trout)
Lineage: Eukaryota; Metazoa; Chordata; Actinopteri; Salmoniformes; Salmonidae
Source: RefSeq, a predicted model, not a curated record
UUUAUAACUAACUCUGACUUGUGUGUGUGGUUUGCUCCCAUGAUUAGGUAAAUAGAGGAAAUUUCCACGACAUUUGGCGACGAGGAGGGGAUGUGAAUCUUCACUCGGUGACCGUUCCUACGAUCUAGGUAAAUAAAUCGUGCACGAGGGAUCCCCUAAAUUUGUGAUCUCAGGGAGACCACACUUCGGGAAACGGAGCAGAUGGACCAACCUUUGAUCUAAGAGGAAGCGAGCCGAGUGGAUACCACAUCUCGAACUGAGUUUUUUUUAAAGAAAAAGGUGAGCGAACCACACACAGAUUUGAAGUCAAGUUUUUUUAAUUAUGCCUGUUACGUAUACUCUGAGCGUGAAUUCCUUUGUAAGGAAGGCACCUUUGCGGCGUAAGCAGGGCCGAGUCAGAGGAGAGUAAUUUGGGGGUUUUGUGGACUCAAAAGAUACUCUGCACUGUCCGGUUGCCAGUGACCAAGAGCCCUCCUGACACUGAAUUGAUCACAGUGGGGAUUUGGUGAGGUCUGUCGGGGUGAGGGGCCAGGGGGUCUGUGUGUUCUAGGUGAAACACGGCACUUGGUGAAGCCCUAUUGGAAGAAGGACCUCAUUCUGUGUGUCUGUGUGAUUUGUCUAAGUGACCCUCAGAUGUGGUGAAUUCCAAUUAUUUUAAAUGUGCUAGCAAAGGUAUGGGUAGGGUUACUCUGUGUGAGUCGGACCGUUCUGUGUGAGCGGGGUAGGUUUACUCUGUGUGAGUCGGACCGUUCUGUGUGAGCGGGGUAGGGUUACUCUGUGUGAGUCGGACCGUUCUGUGUGAGCGGGGUAGGGUUUACUCUGUGUGGGCAAACCUUUUGAUGUUCUGUGUGGACGUCAGAAAAGUUCUAUGUGAAAAAUCUGACCAAUCCUGUGUGGAUGAUCCUGAAAGUUCUGUGUGAGUAACUAAGAUUUCUUAAGUUUUAUAUGGAUUCUGUGAAUUAUUUGAAAUUAUGAUAAAUGGUAUGUGUGUAUAAAGUAAUGCUGAAAAUGAUUUCAUACAAUUUAAACCACCCAUUCGUAGACGUACGUAGGUUUUGAGUUGAUAUCUUAAAUGGAUAAUUUGAUAAAGAUGAAGUUUUUAAGCACUAUUAAAAUAAUCUACAAAAUCUGGAAAUUGAGCUCUAGAAACUGAUUAGAGUGUGUCCACUUUUGGUUAUCUUACCCUAACGAUGUAACUGUAGAACGCAUAUUGGAUUAUCUCCGUCUGGGUGAAACAUUUCAAAUUAAACUGCCCUUAAGGUCUGAACAUGUUCUAAUUUUUCCUCCCAGUAUGAGAGAAGUUGUGGGAUUUAUUUUCCAUAAAGUUAAAGAGAAUUCGAGGGAUGCUCGAUGUAAUUUAUAAUGUUGUACAAAGCCUAAGGUUUUCCAUCAAGCUAAUUAUCAUUGCGUGAUUAAAGUGAUGUAGUAAAGUAAUUGAAAUACGUUGCAUAAGUAAACAUAAUCUACUUUUACUGUUUCCUAGUCAUUAGUGUCGAUUUUAUUCUUUGAUUGCUAAUAUAUUCAUUUGGAAUUUGAGAAUCAUAGCUGGAGCAAUGUUUGUACUAUUAAAAUUUGGCUAUUAUUCUUCUGGGAAUUACCGAUAGUGGCGUGUUUUGAUUUUACUUUGUAAAUUGGGUUUAUAUCCGGAGAAUUUUGGUUAUUGGUAAUAGCAUUGGUGGU